RNAcentral lists this ribosomal RNA (227 nucleotides) under uncultured bacterium. Its description in RNAcentral is "partial 16S ribosomal RNA". It matches the Rfam family "Bacterial small subunit ribosomal RNA", at positions 524 to 746 of the family's 1533-position model. The record is from RNAcentral.
UACGUAGGGUGCGAGCGUUAAUCGGAAUUACUGGGCGUAAAGCGUGCGCAGGCGAUUUUGUAAGUCAGAUGUGAAAUCCCCCGGGCUCAACCUGGGGAACUGCGUUUUGAAACUACAAGGCUAGAGUGUAGCAGAGGGGGGGUAGAAUUCCACGUGUAGCAGUGAAAUGCGUAGAGAUGUGGAGGAAUACCAAUGGCGAAGGCAGCCCCCUGGGUUAACACUGACGC